AUGGCUUCCGAGCAGACGGUGCACAUGAACGGAGGACAAGGGGACACAAGCUAUGCCCGCAACUCCAGCCUGCAGAACGCUGAGCAGAACAGGAUGAGGCCCCUCAUAGAAGAGGCCAUCGCCGAUCUACUCAGUGCCAGCGCCUCCAUGCCCAGAAGCAUGGUGGUCGCGGACCUGGGAUGCUCCUCCGGCCCAAACGCUCUCGCUCUGGUGUCGAUCGCCGUUGACGCCAUCCGCGGUCAGUGCUUUCGUUCCCGGCAGCCGCCGCUGGAAGUCUGCGUCUUCCUCAACGAUCUUCCAGACAACGACUUCAACAUGGUGAUGAAGAGCUUGGUGGCGUUCCAGCAAGGCCACAGGUCGGUCGUCACCGGUGUUAUACCAGGGUCGUUCUACGGGAGGCUCUUCACCACUGGCUCCUUGCAUCUCGCCUGCUCGGCCAACAGCCUGCACUGGCUCUCCGAGGCUCCUGAAGAACUGAGGAGGAACAAGAUCCCGGCAUACGACAUCGAUGAGCACGUGAGGCGAGGAAGACGGCGUGUGGUCAUCGGAGCCUAUGCGCGGCAGUUCAGGAAAGAUUUCAAGCUUUUUCUUGAGCUGAGAGCCAAAGAAUUGGUUGCAGGAGGGCGAUUGGUUGUUUCCCUUGCCGGGAGGCGCUCUGAAGAACCUGCUGCCGAAUUCACUCAUGCCUGGGAAUCAGUCGUCCUUAUAUUAAGUGAGAUGGCCUCAAAGGGUGUGAUUAACAAAAGCAAAGUUUGA
This 756-nucleotide ribosomal RNA is filed under the name Triticum aestivum (bread wheat). Its description in RNAcentral is "partial small subunit ribosomal RNA". Lineage: Eukaryota; Viridiplantae; Streptophyta; Magnoliopsida; Poales; Poaceae. The record is from RNAcentral.